GCGGCGAGGCGGGCGGCGGCGGCGAGGCGGUCGGCGGCGGCGCGGCGGAGAGGCGGACAGCGGCGGAGAGGCGGACAGCGGCGGAGAGGCGCACAGCGGCGGAGAGGCGCACAGCGGCGGCGAGGCGCACAGCGGCGGCGCAGGCGCGGAGAGGCGCAGGCCCAGGCUCCACUCCCCAGCUGUGAAAGGGAGCUCUACGGUGACUUUGAAGACUUGGAAACAGGACGUGCACAAGGGAAAAUCGGGCCCCGACACUCAGAAUGAAGAUAUAGAGAAACAAGGAAGAAAUUGACCCCGACGAAGAAGAAAGUGCCAAGAAAAAGCAUUUGGAUAAGAAGAGAAAAUUGAAGGAGAUGUUUGAUGCAGAAUAUGAUGAAGGAGAAAGCACAUAUUUUGAUGAUCUUAAAGGAGAAAUGCAGAAAGAAGCACAGGAGAAUGGGAGCAGAGGAACUGGAGGCUGCAACUGUGGAAAACUUUUGUGGGGUUU
RNAcentral lists this long non-coding RNA (487 nucleotides) under Homo sapiens (human). Its description in RNAcentral is "non-protein coding lnc-FOXD4L5-21:1". Lineage: Eukaryota; Metazoa; Chordata; Mammalia; Primates; Hominidae. The record is from RNAcentral.